GCAGAACGCGAAGAACCUUACCAGGUCUUGACAUCCUCUGACAACUCUAGAGAUAGAGCGUUCCCCUUCGGGGGGCAGAGUGACAGGUGGUGCAUGGUUGUCGUCAGCUCGUGUCGUGAGAUGUUGGGUUAAGUCCCGCAACGAGCGCAACCCUUGAUCUUAGUUGCCAGCAUUUAGUUGGGCACUCUAAGGUGACUGCCGGUGACAAACCGGAGGAAGGUGGGGAUGACGUCAAAUCAUCAUGCCCCUUAUGACCUGGGCUACACACGUGCUACAAUGGAUGGUACAAAGGGCUGCAAGACCGCGAGGUCAAGCCAAUCCCAUAAAACCAUUCUCAGUUCGGAUUGUAGGCUGCAACUCGCCUACAUGAAGCUGGAAUCGCUAGUAAUCGCAAAUCAGAAUGUUGCGGUGAAUACGUUCCCCCGGGUCUUGUACACA
This 438-nucleotide ribosomal RNA is filed under the name uncultured bacterium. RNAcentral describes it as "bacterial SSU rRNA". It matches the Rfam family "Bacterial small subunit ribosomal RNA", at positions 954 to 1389 of the family's 1533-position model. The record is from RNAcentral.